AUGAACGCUGGCGGCGUGCCUAAUACCUGCAAGUCGAGCGAACGGACGAGAAGCUUGCUUCUCUGAUGUUAGCGGCGGACGGGUGAGUAACACGUGGAUAACCUACCUAUAAGACUGGGAUAACUUCGGGAAACCGGAGCUAAUACCGGAUAAUAUUUUGAACCGCAUGGUUCAAAAGUGAAAGACGGUCUUGCUGUCACUUAUAGAUGGAUCCGCGCUGCAUUAGCUAGUUGGUAAGGUAACGGCUUACCAAGGCAACGAUGCAUAGCCGACCUGAGAGGGUGAUCGGCCACACUGGAACUGAGACACGGUCCAGACUCCUACGGGAGGCAGCAGUAGGGAAUCUUCCGCAAUGGGCGAAGGCCUGACGGAGCAACGCCGCGUGAGUGAUGAAGGUCUUCGGAUCGUAAAACUCUGUUAUUAGGGAAGAACAUAUGUGUAAGUAACUGUGCACAUCUUGACGGUACCUAAUCAGAAAGCCACGGCUAACUACGUG
Molecule: ribosomal RNA, 496 nt
Filed under: uncultured bacterium
Lineage: Bacteria
Description: partial 16S ribosomal RNA
Rfam family: Bacterial small subunit ribosomal RNA
Source: RNAcentral